This 484-nucleotide ribosomal RNA is filed under the name uncultured bacterium. RNAcentral's name for it is "partial 16S ribosomal RNA". It matches the Rfam family "Bacterial small subunit ribosomal RNA", at positions 29 to 507 of the family's 1533-position model. The record is from RNAcentral.
AUUGAACGCUGGCGGCAUGCUUUACACAUGCAAGUCGAACGGCAGCGCGGGCUUCGGCCUGGCGGCGAGUGGCGAACGGGCGAGUAAUUCAUCGGUACGUGCCCAGCAGUGGGGGAUAGCUCGGCGAAAGCCGGAUUAAUACCGUAUACGAUCAGAGGGUGAAAGGGGGGGAUCUUCGGACCUCGCGCCAUUGGAGCGGCCGAUGGCAGAUUAGCCAGUUGGUGGGGUAAAGGCCUACCAAGGCGACGAUCUGUAGCUGGUCUGAGAGGAGGACCAGCCACACUGGGACUGAGACACGGCCCAGACUCCUACGGGAGGCAGCAGUGGGGAAUUUUGGACAAUGGGCGAAAGCCUGAUCCAGCAAUGCCGCGUGUGUGAUGAAGGCCUUCGGGUUGUAAAGCACUUUUGGCGGGAACGAAAAGGACUAUGCCAAUACCACGGUUCGAUGACGGUACCCGCAGAAUAAGCACCGGCUAACUACGUG